UACGUAGGGUGCGAGCGUUGUCCGGAAUUAUUGGGCGUAAAGAGCUUGUAGGCGGUUUGUCGCGUCUGCCCGUGAAAAUCCGGGGCUCAACCCCGGACUUGCGGUGGGUACGGGCAGACUAGAGUGUGGUAGGGGAGACUGGAAUUCCUGGUGUAGCGGUGAAAUGCGCAGAUAAUCGGGAAGAACACCCGUGGCGAAGGCGACUCUCUGGAACGCAACUGACGCUGAGACGCGAAAGCGUGGGGAGCAAACAGGGAUUAAGAAACCC
This 268-nucleotide ribosomal RNA is filed under the name uncultured bacterium. RNAcentral describes it as "partial 16S ribosomal RNA". It matches the Rfam family "Bacterial small subunit ribosomal RNA", at positions 524 to 787 of the family's 1533-position model. The record is from RNAcentral.